UCUACUAUAUAAAUCUCUUUAGCCACUCCUCCUGACUGGAUUUGUUCUUUAUUCAUUCUACGAUGAAGGCUCUGAAUGAAGAACUCUUUCUUCCUGUUUGGAAACCACCAUGAUAUUUCACCAUCAGAAAUAGAUGAAAUGGAGCUGCACUUCACAUGGGUUGUGACCUAGAGUCUUAAAACGGUACAACUCCGAAGAGGUCAAAAGUCGACUCUGCAGCAAGCUUGAGUAAAAUGUGACAAACCAUAUGGAACAAGUCAGCUGACUGCAACAUUUACACUUGUGUGUUACAUACCUUUUUUUG
Long non-coding RNA from Sinocyclocheilus grahami, 304 nucleotides. RefSeq lists it as uncharacterized. Lineage: Eukaryota; Metazoa; Chordata; Actinopteri; Cypriniformes; Cyprinidae. The transcript is spliced from 4 exons. The record is from RefSeq and is a predicted model, not a curated record.